This 519-nucleotide ribosomal RNA is filed under the name uncultured bacterium. RNAcentral describes it as "bacterial SSU rRNA". It matches the Rfam family "Bacterial small subunit ribosomal RNA", at positions 553 to 1071 of the family's 1533-position model. The record is from RNAcentral.
AUUGGGCGUAAAGCGCGUCUAGGUGGUUAUGUAAGUCUGAUGUGAAAAUGCAGGGCUCAACUCUGUAUUGCGUUGGAAAUUGCAUGACUAGAGUACUGGAGAGGUAAGCGGAACUACAAGUGUAGAGGUGAAAUUCGUAGAUAUUUGUAGGAAUGCCGAUGGGGAAGCCAGCUUACUGGACAGAUACUGACGCUAAAGCGCGAAAGCGUGGGUAGCAAACAGGAUUAGAUACCCUGGUAGUCCACGCCGUAAACGAUGAGUGCUAGGUGUUAGACCCUUUCCGGGGUUUAGUGCCGCAGCUAACGCAUUAAGCACUCCGCCUGGGGAGUACGACCGCAAGGUUGAAACUCAAAGGAAUUGACGGGGGCCCGCACAAGCGGUGGAGCAUGUGGUUUAAUUCGAAGCAACGCGAAGAACCUUACCAGGUCUUGACAUCCCUCUGACCGCUCUAGAGAUAGAGUUUUCCUUCGGGACAGAGGUGACAGGUGGUGCAUGGUUGUCGUCAGCUCGUGUCGUGAG